RNAcentral lists this small nuclear RNA (112 nucleotides) under Rhinolophus ferrumequinum (greater horseshoe bat). Its description in RNAcentral is "U2 spliceosomal RNA (ENSRFEG00010021247.1)". It matches the Rfam family "U2 spliceosomal RNA". From Rfam's summary of the family: U2 is a small nuclear RNA (snRNA) component of the spliceosome (involved in pre-mRNA splicing). The record is from Rfam by way of RNAcentral. Lineage: Eukaryota; Metazoa; Chordata; Mammalia; Chiroptera; Rhinolophidae.
AUCGCUUCUCGGCCUUUCGGCUAAGAUCAAGUGUAGUAUUUGUUCUUAUCAGUUUAAUAUCUGAUAUGUCCUCUAUUUUUCGCAAGCAGCUAGGUGAUUCUUACCACCAUCA